GCAGGAUUCAUCAGUGGGAAGCUGUGCCAUUUCUGUGUAAUUUCAGUGAGGGAAGAGGAGAACAUUGAAUAUUUUUCCAGCCUUACAAUUUAAUAGCCAGCUUGUCAAUGAUAAAGGGGGGGAGGAUGUUCUAGAAAUGAAGAAGAUGCAAGAAAUCACACAUCACUUCACGCAACCAUCUUCAGGUCUGAUCAUGCUCCCUGUGGGAUCACUUGAGGUUUCCUCAUCAUUUCUGCAGGGACCCAACUGUGUAAUGACGGCUGGGUUUCAUCUGCAUGAUUUUGGGAGCUGAAGGGAUUGUGUUCUCCACAGCUUAUUACUGUGGGCUGGACAGGCCCAGAGGCUCUGGACACGUGACAGCACGGGUGGACAGAGCAGCUCGUGACACAGGGGGUGACGAACCUGACCCCUUGCAAGGUAGGAGACCGGCAAAGACCCCUGCCCUGCACCCACAGAGCUGCUGCCAGGCACCUGCUCUGACUCCAGCUUCUCUCCCACUUCUUCCCAGAUUUGCAGUAACUUUUUUUAGCCCUUCAUGUCGCCUGCCUGGGUCUUAAUUUGAUUUACAAUACACGUGCUGCCAGGCUACCUGAAAUAUAUUGAAAGAAACAACA
Molecule: long non-coding RNA, 614 nt
Organism: Harpia harpyja (harpy eagle)
Lineage: Eukaryota; Metazoa; Chordata; Aves; Accipitriformes; Accipitridae
Exons: 3
Source: RefSeq, a predicted model, not a curated record